GGGUGUAAAGGGUGCGUAGGCGGGUUUUAAGUCAGGGUGAAAUCCUGGAGCUCAACUCCAGAACUGCCUUUGAUACUGAAGAUCUUGAGUCCGGGAGAGGUGAGUGGAACUGCGAGUGUAGAGGUGAAAUUCGUAGAUAUUCGCAAGAACACCAGUGGCGAAGGCGGCUCACUGGCCCGGUACUGACGCUGAGGCACGAAAGCGUGGGAGCAAACAGGAUUAGAUACCCUGGUAGUCCACGCCGUAAACGAUGAAUGCCAGCCGUUAGUGGUUACUCACUAGUGGCGCAGCUAACGCUUUAAGCAUUCCGCCUGGGAGUACGGUCGCAAGAUUAAAACU
Molecule: ribosomal RNA, 339 nt
Filed under: uncultured bacterium
Lineage: Bacteria
Description: bacterial SSU rRNA
Rfam family: Bacterial small subunit ribosomal RNA
Source: RNAcentral